Molecule: ribosomal RNA, 524 nt
Filed under: uncultured bacterium
Lineage: Bacteria
Description: partial 16S ribosomal RNA
Rfam family: Bacterial small subunit ribosomal RNA
Source: RNAcentral
GACGAACGCUGGCGGCGUGCCUAAUACAUGCAAGUCGAGCGCAGGAAGCUGACGGAACUCUUCGGAGGGAAGGCAGUGGAAUGAGCGGCGGACGGGUGAGUAACACGUAAGGAACCUGCCUCAAGGAUUGGGAUAACUCCGAGAAAUCGGAGCUAAUACCGGAUAGUUCAACGGACCGCAUGGUCCGCUGAUGAAAGGCGCUCCGGCGUCACCUUGAGAUGGCCUUGCGGUGCAUUAGCUAGUUGGUGGGGUAACGGCCCACCAAGGCGACGAUGCAUAGCCGACCUGAGAGGGUGAUCGGCCACACUGGGACUGAGACACGGCCCAGACUCCUACGGGAGGCAGCAGUAGGGAAUCUUCCACAAUGGACGAAAGUCUGAUGGAGCAACGCCGCGUGAGUGAUGAAGGUUUUCGGAUCGUAAAACUCUGUUGUAAGGGAAGAACACGUACGAGAGGGAAUGCUCGUACCUUGACGGUACCUUACGAGAAAGCCACGGCUAACUACGUGCCAGCCGCCGCCGUAA